AAGUACGCACUAUGCCUUAUAAAUCCUUAGGAAUAACCAAAUUUGGAAGAAGCAUGAUGGAAUUGAGAAGCACCUAAAACAAAGGUAAAAACUGAACCUAUAAACCUGCCUUCAUAUACCUCCCUGCUUGUCUCAUAAGCCAAACGGGAGGCCUUUCUACUUCUUUACCCCGUAUAGCAUCCAGCAACAAAGGUUCAGUUGCAUUUAUAGCUUUUGGUUCCGCAACAGUUCCUGCAAGUUAAAAUCAAUAUGAAAAUUCAACCAACUUAAGAAGUUGAAGGUACAAUUGCAUAGAAACUGGGGGAAUAAAUAGCUCUAACUCUAUUCGGUCAGGGGAUGUAUAUGGAAAUUUCAGAUAAAAGGUAGAUGCAAAUUGAAAUUGAAAAAUACUUAAAUUGGGGUCCUUGAGGCUUGCUUAAUUGACCAAAAUAAAGUUUUAAGACGGCAUAAUUGUGAAUGUGAAGACAUACUAAUAGCAUAACAAAGAGUGGAUCUUAGCCGAAAAAAACUGAGCAGCAUCCAGCAACAAAGGUUCUGUUGCAUUUAUAGCUUUUGGUUCCGCAACAGUUCCUGGAAGUUAAAAUCAAUAUGAGAAUUCAACCAACUUAAGAAGCUGAAGGUAUAAUUGCAUGGGAAUAAAUAGCUAAAACUCUCAUUGGUCUGGGGGUGUAUAUGGAAAUUUCAGAUAAAAGCUAACAGUCUAAUAGAUGCAAUUUUACAUACUAGAAUUGAAAUUACUAUUUUAAUGAAGAAUAAAUUGGGGUCCUUGAGGCUUGCUUAAUUGUCCAAAAUCAAGUUUUAAGACGGCAGCCACUGCAUAAUUGUGAAUGUGAAGAAAUACUAAUAGCAUAAGAAAGGCUGGAUCUUCGCCAAAAAAGGCUGAGUCAGUAAUUAAUCAUAAUAAACUACUCGGAUUAAACAAAAUUGGAAAUGCAGAAAUGGAAUUACUGUAUGGACAAUGUAAAGA
Molecule: long non-coding RNA, 967 nt
Filed under: Nicotiana benthamiana
Lineage: Eukaryota; Viridiplantae; Streptophyta; Magnoliopsida; Solanales; Solanaceae
Description: long non-coding RNA (NBEN_LNC011188)
Source: RNAcentral